UGGGGGAUUUUGCACAAUGGGCGCAAGCCUGAUGCAGCGACGCCGCGUGAGGGAUGAAGGCCUUCGGGUUGUAAACCUCUUUCGCUGGGUUGAAAGGCCAUGCUUUGGGUGUGGUUGACUUGAACUGGUAAAGAAGUACCGGCUAACUACGUGCCAGCAGCCGCGGUAAUACGUAGGGUACUAGCGUUGUCCGGAUUUAUUGGGCGUAAAGGGCUUGUAGGUGGUUUGUCGCGUCAGUCGUGAAAUCCUGUGGCUUAACCAUGGGCUUGCGGUGGGUACGGGCAGGCGUGAGUGCGGUAGGGGAGACUGGAAUUCCGGGUGUAGAGGGGGAAUGCGCAGAUAUCAGGAGGAACACCGGUGGCGAAGGCGGGUCUCUGGGCCGUUACUGACGCUGAGGAGCGAAAGCGUGGGGAGCGAACAGG
Molecule: ribosomal RNA, 422 nt
Filed under: Fusobacteriota bacterium
Lineage: Bacteria; Fusobacteriati; Fusobacteriota
Description: Fusobacteria bacterium partial 16S ribosomal RNA
Rfam family: Bacterial small subunit ribosomal RNA
Source: RNAcentral